RNAcentral lists this ribosomal RNA (457 nucleotides) under uncultured bacterium. Its description in RNAcentral is "bacterial SSU rRNA". It matches the Rfam family "Bacterial small subunit ribosomal RNA", at positions 123 to 588 of the family's 1533-position model. The record is from RNAcentral.
GACCUACCCCCAAGUCGCGAAUAACCAGCCGAAAGGAUGGCUAAUACGUGAUGUGAUGAUCCGCUGUGGCAGAUCAUUAAAGACUUGAUCGCUUGGGGAUGGGGUUGCGUUCCAUCAGCUAGUUGGUAAGGUAAAGGCUCACCAAGGCAACGACGGAUAGCCGGCCUGAGAGGGUGGCCGGCCACAGGGGCACUGAGACACGGGUCCCACUCCUACGGGAGGCAGCAGUUAGGAAUCUUCCACAAUGGGCGCAAGCCUGAUGGAGCGACGCCGCGUGAGGGAUGAAGGUUCUCGGAUCGUAAACCUCUGAACCAACGACGAAAGACCCGACAAGGGAGAUGACGGUAGUUGGGUAAUAGCACCGGCUAACUCCGUGCCAGCAGCCGCGGUAAUACGGAGGGUGCAAGCGUUACCCGGAAUCACUGGGCGUAAAGGGCGUGUGGGCGGUUACCUAAGU